AAAUUUGUUGGAUGUGAAUGUGUAUGUAUAAAAAUGUUGCGAUUUUCAGCAGUCGCGUGAAGUAUAUCACUAUUAUUAUUUAUAUAAAAAUUUGAUUCCGUUUUUUACCCACAAAAAAUUGGAUUGAUUGAAAUUUAUAACGAAUAUUUAUUCAAAUCAAAUUUAUAGCAUUUUUUUUUAUCAAAAUUGAAAUUUAAAUAUAAAAUUUGUCGCAUGCAAAAAAAUUAAGGUGACAACUUCUGUUCAACUUAAAAAAAUUCUGAACUCGACAGAUUGCCUCACAGAAAAUAAAGUAGUAGUAACGCGUGUAAAAGGCCUGAGAGUAGAAUCAUUUUUUGCAUUUUUUUAUGACAUUCUAUGUAAUAUUACAUCCUGAAACAUGUAGCCAAACAGUAUGGGAAACCUACUUGACCGAAAUGUCAAGCUAAUAUAUGCGUUUAUCCUUUCCAUUCUUCAUCAGUCUGAUGUCAGAGCGGGCCAAGGCGCCAGUCCUUACUGUUGAUGCUGGGUUUGAAUCCCGUCGGUUUCAACUUUUAUUUGUGUAUACAAAAAUUGUACAUGCAGUGUGUUAUACUAAGUGUCUUUUCGACGAAGGUGAUGUACAUGCAUAAAAACCUGAUUGCUGUAUGAUUUUUAUUUAUUUUUUAUGUCUACUUUAUGUGUCACUGAAAACAUUAAACACAUUUACUCAAACUAUUUACAGAAGCAAGUUUUAAUGUAAUUUUAUGGAUGCAAUCAAUUAACUCACUGUCCAAACACUUUGCUAAAAAAGUAAUAUUUCUCAAUAAAAAAUAACAGCUAAAAAAUACAAAAAUUAUAUAUAAUCUAGAAGUUGUAUCAUCGAAUCAUGGGAAAAUCGAAUCACUUUUUUUCCGUUGUCUUAUUUUUGAUUGUUGAGCUAAACUAUAACUUAUGACCCCUAAACUACGCUAAAUUUUUCAAAUGGCGGCAAUGAAGUAUUUAAACGGUGAGGCAAUCCAAACCACUUUUUACAGCUCCCAUCCUACUCGGGAGUUGAACUUACGACCUUUGGGUUGUGAGUCAAACUGCUUACCAGCGACUCUACCCUGGGAGACUACUCCUACACCUGGUCUGAGCUAACGACCUAACCUCUACUCGCUGAAAAAAAUAACACCCCGAUCGGCCUUCGUCAGACCGAUUUUAUUCUACCAUCAGGCUGAUUGAGGCGUUAAAUUUCUCAGAGGGUUGGUUAGUCCGGGGCCAACAUUUACUUCCUCGUCCUAAUACAACACUUUUUUUUUGCAUUAAUUAUUUUCUAACUUUAAACAUCAAAUUGGAGGUCUGCAUUGCUUGUUAGAUUACACCGACCAACAAAAUUUCUGUGCAAGCUAAGCUCGAGGGGAAGCAUAAAUUGAAUUGAUUUUUUCUGAGGACUUUGGAUAAUCGAGUCUGGACUGUAGAUUAAACUGUUAGAAUGCUUGUCCGUCCCUUUUACCGUAUUUGGGAGCGUUAUUUUAUUACUAAGAUCUGACAAAAACAAAAAUUAAUCGAAAAAAAAAAGAUUUUGCAUCAAAAAUUUUCAAAAAAUCUUAAGAUUUUUUAAUAAACCCAAACAUGCUAAAAAUGAUUUUAAACACAGGAGAAUGUAUUUUAAUUUGAUUUCAGCUGGUUGCACUUGAAUUUUCAUUGAAAUUUUGAAGUUUAUUGUAAAAAUAUUUUUUUGCCCCCUGAUUUUUUGGGCCAAUUUUGAAGGGGGAGGGGGGGGGGGGGGGUGGUUGACAAAAACUUUUAAAAAUAUUUGUACCAGCCUAAUCAAACUUCGAAUAAUCGAAACUUCGGAUAAUCGAGUCUGGACUGUUUAUAAAUGUAUGAAGAGUUCGCAAAACACAACAUUAAAAUGACAAUUGAAUAUAAAAACAAAAAGGCUGGUAUAACUAUUUUUGAACGUUUUUGUCACCCCCUCGCCCUCGACCCCGGCUAGAGCCGAGGGACAAAAACUUUGGAAAAUAUUUGCAUCGGCCUAAAAUAUAAAUAAUAAAUUUUAAUGAACAAAAUAAUAAACGACCGAUACAGUCCAGAUAAGAUUUUCGAGAGCCUCGAUUAUCCGAUUUUCCGGUUAUUAAAGUUUCCACUUGUGCAAACUAUCACUAUUGUCAAAUUCUGUCCCCCUUAUGUCUGAUCUGGAUAUUUUUUUUUUCGUAAAGUCAAAUUCUAGAUUAAAUUUUCAAAACAACCUAUCCCUCAUAGGUUUCCUAUGCAGAUAGGGCCUUUUGAAAAUUUAAUCGAGAAAUUUAAUAAGCACUUUAGCAGCUUAAAACUUAUUCUAACAAAAAAAAUAAUAUUUAGGUUUAGUCGAAUAAUAAACUAAGUACAAAAACUAUUAAAAACUUUUAGCAUAAAUUAAUAAUUAAGUGAUAGAAAAAUAAUUUUAUUUUGUUCGAAUUAUGCCAUACAAUAAAUCAAUCAACCAAACGACGGAAACCUGUCAAAGAUCGUCGUCGUCGAAAACCGAAACUACAAAAAAUGCGUUUUUCUGGAAAGCAUACAAGCACACCUUUGCUUGGAAUCUUCCCUUCUUCAUGUUAAUGUUAACAGAGAGACUAACCGAGAGAGGGAAAGAGAGAGAGAGAAAGAGAGAGAACGUAAACUUUCUCUCACACGAACAAGGCGAGAAUGGUAUAAACCUCGGUAUAAACUUGAAUAACGAAGCAGGCUGUUGCUGUUUCUGCUUGCUUCCAACAACAACAACAACAAUCACUCGAUUACGAGCACGAAAGAUAUUUAACAACCGGCCGAGAGCGAACUCGUACUCAGUUUGAACUGAGUCGUUGUGGGGGGAAGGAGCUGCCGCUAGUUUCGUAUUCAAGGCGGCAUUUGAGAGAGGAGGUGAGAGAAAUAAAAAACGCAAGGCUGUGGCGUUUGUAAAAUACUUUCCGGUGCAUUUUGGAAUGGAGAAUGUUGCGAAACUCAAGUGAUGGACGGAACGUAAACGCGGUGGGAUCAUUCAACAGACGCGAUGGAAAAUUUUGCUGAAUAAAACAAGAUGGCGGCGACGGUGGCCCACUGACAGCGACGCCGCUUUUUUCCUGGGUGAUGGCGGAGUAGAAUGGAAGAAUCGAUACGACGACAUUUGCCGUGGUUGCUGAGAUUGCGAAAUAGAGGCAGCAAAAGAAAGUGCGGUGUCAAAAAAAUGGAAAAGUGUCGUAAAUGAAUUACAGAAAAAGAACGAUGGUGGCAAUUAAUCAUGAGAAGGGCGAACUUUGUAUCGAUUAAAUGGUUAAUUAACUGAAUAAUAUCUCUGGGUUGUGGUGACGUGGCAAGUACUUUUGGAAAA
Long non-coding RNA from Culex pipiens pallens (northern house mosquito), 3295 nucleotides. RefSeq lists it as uncharacterized. The record is from RefSeq and is a predicted model, not a curated record. The transcript is spliced from 2 exons. Lineage: Eukaryota; Metazoa; Arthropoda; Insecta; Diptera; Culicidae.